AGUGAACGCUGGCGGUAGGCCUAACACAUGCAAGUCGAACGGCAGCACAGUAAGAGCUUGCUCUUACGGGUGGCGAGUGGCGGACGGGUGAGGAAUACAUCGGAAUCUACUUUUUCGUGGGGGAUAACGUAGGGAAACUUACGCUAAUACCGCAUACGACCUACGGGUGAAAGCAGGGGAUCUUCGGACCUUGCGCGAUUGAAUGAGCCGAUGUCGGAUUAGCUAGUUGGCGGGGUAAAGGCCCACCAAGGCGACGAUCCGUAGCUGGUCUGAGAGGAUGAUCAGCCACACUGGAACUGAGACACGGUCCAGACUCCUACGGGAGGCAGCAGUGGGGAAUAUUGGACAAUGGGCGCAAGCCUGAUCCAGCCAUACCGAGUGGGUAAAGAAGGCCUUCGGGUUGUAAAGCCCUUUUGUUGGGAAAGAAAGGCAGCAGGUUAAAACCCCGCUGUUCUGACGGUACCCAAAGAAUAAGCACCGGCUAACUUCGUG
Molecule: ribosomal RNA, 492 nt
Filed under: uncultured bacterium
Lineage: Bacteria
Description: partial 16S ribosomal RNA
Rfam family: Bacterial small subunit ribosomal RNA
Source: RNAcentral